RNAcentral lists this long non-coding RNA (874 nucleotides) under Rosa chinensis. RNAcentral describes it as "sRNA RchiOBHm_Chr1g0325451". Lineage: Eukaryota; Viridiplantae; Streptophyta; Magnoliopsida; Rosales; Rosaceae. The record is from RNAcentral.
UUCCUUCUCCACGACUCUAGCCUCCUCUGUUCGUGGGUUUAGGCCUUUAGGGUGCAGCAGGUGCCUCCAAUUCCUUCUCCACGACUCUAGUCCCUCUGUUCGUGGGUUUAGGGUGCAGCAGGUGCCUCCAAUUCCUUCUCCACAACUCUAGUCCCUCUGUUCGUGGGUUUAGGGUGCAGCAGCUUGGCCUUCAUCUCUGUUCGGGUUUUCUCCUCUCCCAACACAAAGUUGCAGACCCAUAAUUCCUCGCAAACCAAUCUCUCUUACUCUCACUUUAAAGCUUCUUCUUUUCUGCUUCAGGAACCCCCACCGAAAACGUGCCCCAAUGGUGUUACUCGUGGAAGCCCUGAAUCCAGUUAUUGUGUAAAGGAACCCCGCCUCCCGAAAGGUGUUACUCGUGGAUGUCCAGAAUCCGGUUAUUGUGUAAAGGUAACAGAAGGUGGCAUCCUGAGGGUGCAGUAAUAGACACUCUUGAAAAGGCUCCUGUUUUCUAUCCAACACAUGAGGUGAGGUGAGCUUGACUAGAGAUUGGGAGUUAGAGUUGGAUCGAUAUGUGGCUAGGAGCAUGAAGGUUAAUUAUGUGGUAGGAUCCUACCUUGAUCCCCUUACAGUUAAGGUAUACUGAUCAGACACAUGUUCAAGGAUAGUCCAUAUGCCUCUGGUUCUCCAUCAAAAGCCAUCUGCAUUAUUGAUCAUAAUUUGUUACUGAUAUUAUUUAUAGUUGAAGACUUGUGAAGCAUAUUAUGAAAGUGCUCAAUUUGUUAAUGUUUGUUGGAUUUGAAAAAAGAGUUGAUGUUAGGCUCUGUUUAUUAUUAUUAUCCAUAAUAAAUUCAAAUUUUUGGUAAAAACAAAUUCUAUUUAUAUAAUCGGCGAC